RNAcentral lists this non-coding RNA (46 nucleotides) under Schistosoma haematobium. The record is from RNAcentral. Lineage: Eukaryota; Metazoa; Platyhelminthes; Trematoda; Strigeidida; Schistosomatidae.
GUCCAGCUGAUGAGUCCCAAAAUAGGAUGAAAUGCGUGUCCUGGAU